RNAcentral lists this long non-coding RNA (1013 nucleotides) under Coffea arabica (coffee). RNAcentral's name for it is "long non-coding RNA (CARA_LNC002532)". The record is from RNAcentral. Lineage: Eukaryota; Viridiplantae; Streptophyta; Magnoliopsida; Gentianales; Rubiaceae.
UGAAGGGGGAGGAGGGGAUGUGUAGACAUAGGGUGGUGGGGGUGAUUUCUCCGGCGGUGGUGGGGACUUGUAGUAGUAAGGUGGUGGAGGAGAUGGCGAUGGUGGUGGUGGGGACUUGUAGUAGUAAGGAGGGAGUGGUGAUGGAGAUGGUGGUGGGGGAGAUUUGUAGUAGUAGGGAUGAGGGGAUGGAGAUGGUGGUGGGGGAGAUUUGUAGUAGUAGGGAUGAGGGGAUGGAGAUGGUGGUGGGGGAGAUUUGUAGUAGUAGGGAUGAGGGGAUGGAGAUGGUGGUGGUGGGGAGACGUAAUGAUAAGGUGGUGGUGGAGAUUUCUCCGGCGGUGGUGGGGAGAUGUACUGAUAAGGUGGUGGUGGGGAUUUCUCCGGAGGUGGUGGGGAGAUGUAGUGAUAAGGUGGUGGUGGGGAUUUUUCCGGUGGUGGUGGGGAGAUGUACUGAUAAGGUGGUGGUGGAGAUUUUUCCGGUGGUGGUGGGGAGAUGUACUGAUAAGGUGGUGGUGGAGAUUUUUCCGGUGGUGGUGGGGAGACGUAAUAAUACGGCUUUGGUGGAGGUUUCACCGGUGGUGGCGGUGACUUGUAUAGGUAAGUUGGUGGUGGAGGUGGUGGUGAUUUAUAGACAUAAGUUGGUGGUGGUGGGGAGACGUAAUAAUACGGCUUUGGUGGAGGUUUCACUGGUGGUGGCGGUGACUUGUAUAGGUAAGUUGGUGGUGGAGGUGGUGGUGAUUUAUAGACAUAAGUUGGUGGUGGUGGGGAGACGUAAUAAUACGGCUUUGGCGGAGGUUUCACCGGUGGUGGCGGUGACUUGUAUAGGUAAGUUGGUGGUGGAGGUGGUGGUGAUUUAUAGACAUAAGUUGGUGGUGGUGGGGAGACGUAAUAAUACGGCUUUGGUGGAGGUUUCACCGGUGGUGGCGGUGACUUGUAUAGGUAAGUUGGUGGUGGAGGUGGUGGUGAUUUAUAGACAUAAGUUGGUGGCGGAGGAGAUAUGUAGUGGUAAGGAGCAG